GACUUACCGUGCAUGAUCUUCAUGCACCUUUUGUCUUUAUUCUUUAUUUGUUCUUGUUUUGAGUAUGCAAGUGUGAAGCAGGAUCUUCUCGUCAUUCUGGGGCCGUCGGUAAACAAAAUCCGGCCUAAAACAUCAUUUUGUUCUAAUAAAAAAUGUGUUUUUCUCUGAUAUUCACAAAAACCAAAAUAACAUCUUAUGUCCCGUC
RNAcentral lists this long non-coding RNA (205 nucleotides) under Mytilus galloprovincialis (Mediterranean mussel). Lineage: Eukaryota; Metazoa; Mollusca; Bivalvia; Mytilida; Mytilidae. The record is from RNAcentral.